This 440-nucleotide ribosomal RNA is filed under the name uncultured bacterium. Its description in RNAcentral is "bacterial SSU rRNA". It matches the Rfam family "Bacterial small subunit ribosomal RNA", at positions 28 to 507 of the family's 1533-position model. The record is from RNAcentral.
GAUGAACGCUGGCGGUAUGCCUAACACAUGCAAGUCGUACGAGGGUUUUUAACUCUAGUGGCGGACGGGUGAGUAACACGUGAGAAUUUGCCUUUAGGAGGGGGAUAACAAUCGGAAACGAAUGCUAAUACCCCAUAUGCUUUUGAGUGAAAUGGAUUUAUCCGCCUAAAGAGAAGCUCGCGGCUGAUUAGCUUGUUGGUAAGGUAAGAGCUUACCAAGGCGACGAUCAGUAUCUGGUUUGAGAGGACGAUCAGACACACUGGAACUGAGACACGGUCCAGACUCCUACGGGAGGCAGCAGUGGGGAAUUUUCCGCAAUGGGCGAAAGCCUGACGGAGCAAUACCGCGUGAGGGAAGACUGCCUAUGGGUUGUAAACCUUCUUUUUCAGGGAGGAAUAAAAUGACGUGUACCUGAAGAAUAAGCAUCGGCUAACUCCGUG